GACGAACGCUGGCGGCGUGCUUAACACAUGCAAGUCGAACGGUAAGGCUCCAGCUUGCUGGGGUACACGAGUGGCGAACGGGUGAGUAACACGUGGGUGACCUGCCCUGCACUUCGGGAUAAGCCUGGGAAACUGGGUCUAAUACCGGAUAGGACCGCACCGUGAGGGUGUGGUGGAAAGUUUUUUCGGUGUGGGAUGGGCCCGCGGCCUAUCAGCUUGUUGGUGGGGUAAUGGCCUACCAAGGCGGCGACGGGUAGCCGGCCUGAGAGGGUGGACGGCCACAUUGGGACUGAGACACGGCCCAGACUCCUACGGGAGGCAGCAGUGGGGAAUAUUGUACAAUGGGCGGAAGCCUGAUGCAGCGACGCCGCGUGGGGGAUGACGGCCUUCGGGUUGUAAACUCCUUUCACCAUCGACGAAGGGUUUCUGACGGUAGAUGGAGAAGAAGCACCGGCUAACUACGUGCCAGCAGCCGCGGUAAUACGUAGGGUGCGAGCGUUGUCCGGAAUUACUGGGCGUAAAGAGCUCGUAGGUGGUUUGUCGCGUCGUCUGUGAAAUUCCGGGGCUUAACUCCGGGCGUGCAGGCGAUACGGGCAUAACUUGAGUACUGUAGGGGAGACUGGAAUUCCUGGUGUAGCGGUGAAAUGCGCAGAUAUCAGGAGGAACACCGGUGGCGAAGGCGGGUCUCUGGGCAGUAACUGACGCUGAGGAGCGAAAGCAUGGGGAGCGAACAGGAUUAGAUACCCUGGUAGUCCAUGCCGUAAACGGUGGGCGCUAGGUGUGGGUUUCCUUCCACGGGAUCCGUGCCGUAGCUAACGCAUUAAGCGCCCCGCCUGGGGAGUACGGCCGCAAGGCUAAAACUCAAAGGAAUUGACGGGGGCCCGCACAAGCGGCGGAGCAUGUGGAUUAAUUCGAUGCAACGCGAAGAACCUUACCUGGGCUUGACAUAUACAGGAUCGCGCCAGAGAUGGUGUUUCCCUUGUGGCUUGUAUACAGGUGGUGCAUGGUUGUCGUCAGCUCGUGUCGUGAGAUGUUGGGUUAAGUCCCGCAACGAGCGCAACCCUUGUCUUAUGUUGCCAGCACGUUGUGGUGGGGACUCGUAAGAAACUGCCGGGGUUAACUCGGAGGAAGGUGGGGAUGACGUCAAAUCAUCAUGCCCCUUAUGUCCAGGGCUUCACACAUGCUACAAUGGUCGGUACAGUGGGUUGCCAGUCCGUGAGGGCGAGCUAAUCCCGCAAAGCCGGUCUCAGUUCGGAUCGGGGUCUGCAACUCGACCCCGUGAAGUCGGAGUCGCUAGUAAUCGCAGACCAGCAACGCUGCGGUGAAUACGUUCCCGGGCCU
Molecule: ribosomal RNA, 1341 nt
Filed under: uncultured bacterium
Lineage: Bacteria
Description: partial 16S ribosomal RNA
Rfam family: Bacterial small subunit ribosomal RNA
Source: RNAcentral